GACGAACGCUGGCGGCGUGCCUAAUACAUGCAAGUCGAGCGGACCAAUAGAAGCUUGCUUCUGUUGGUUAGCGGCGGACGGGUGAGUAACACGUGGGCAACCUGCCUGUAAGACUGGGAUAACUUCGGGAAACCGGAGCUAAUACCGGAUAAUUCAUCCCCUCGCAUGAGGGGAUGCUGAAAGUCGGUUUACGCUGACACUUACAGAUGGGCCCGCGGCGCAUUAACUAGUUGGUGAGGUAAUGGCUCACCAAGGCGACGAUGCGUAGCCGACCUGCGGGGGUGAGCGGCCACACUGGGACUGAGACACGGCCCAGACUCCUACGGGAGGCAGCAGUAGGGAAUCUUCCACAAUGGACGAAAGUCUGAUGGGGCAACGCCGCGUGAGCGAUGAAGGCCUUCGGGUCGUAAAGCUCUGUUGUUAGGGAAGAACAAGUAUCGGAGUAACUGCCGGUACCUUGACGGUACCUAACCAGAAAGCCAUGGCUAACUACGUGCCAGCAGCCGCGGUAA
RNAcentral lists this ribosomal RNA (512 nucleotides) under uncultured bacterium. RNAcentral's name for it is "partial 16S ribosomal RNA". It matches the Rfam family "Bacterial small subunit ribosomal RNA", at positions 28 to 523 of the family's 1533-position model. The record is from RNAcentral.